Molecule: transfer RNA, 75 nt
Filed under: Candidatus Ryanbacteria bacterium RIFCSPLOWO2_01_FULL_48_26
Lineage: Bacteria; Candidatus Ryaniibacteriota
Description: tRNA-Arg
Rfam family: tRNA
About the family: Transfer RNA (tRNA) molecules are approximately 80 nucleotides in length. Their secondary structure includes four short double-helical elements and three loops (D, anti-codon, and T loops).
Source: RNAcentral
GCCCUCGUAGUUCAACGGAUAGAACGGCUCACUCCUAACGAGUCGAUCGAGGUUCAAUUCCUCGCGAGGGCACAA